CAGUCGCCGCGGUAAUACGAAGGGGGCUAGCGUUGUUCGGAAUUACUGGGCGUAAAGCGCGUGUAGGCGGGUCUUUAAGUCAGGGGUGAAAUGCCAAGGCUCAACCUUGGAACUGCCUUUGAUACUGGAGAUCUUGAGUCCGGGAGAGGUGAGUGGAACUGCGAGUGUAGAGGUGAAAUUCGUAGAUAUUCGCAAGAACACCAGUGGCGAAGGCGGCUCACUGGCCCGGAACUGACGCUGAGACGCGAAAGCGUGGGGAGCAAACAGGAUUAGAGACCCGCGUAGUCCCUGUCUCUUAUAA
Molecule: ribosomal RNA, 301 nt
Filed under: uncultured bacterium
Lineage: Bacteria
Description: partial 16S ribosomal RNA
Rfam family: Bacterial small subunit ribosomal RNA
Source: RNAcentral